This 1651-nucleotide ribosomal RNA is filed under the name Escherichia coli. RNAcentral describes it as "partial 23S ribosomal RNA". It matches the Rfam family "Bacterial large subunit ribosomal RNA", at positions 205 to 1880 of the family's 2925-position model. The record is from RNAcentral. Lineage: Bacteria; Pseudomonadati; Pseudomonadota; Gammaproteobacteria; Enterobacterales; Enterobacteriaceae.
AGUACCCCGAGGAAAAGAAAUCAACCGAGAUUCCCCCAGUAGCGGCGAGCGAACGGGGAGCAGCCCAGAGCCUGAAUCAGUAUGUGUGUUAGUGGAAGCGUCUGGAAAGGCGCGCGAUACAGGGUGACAGCCCCGUACACAAAAAUGCACAUGCUGUGAGCUCGAUGAGUAGGGCGGGACACGUGGUAUCCUGUCUGAAUAUGGGGGGACCAUCCUCCAAGGCUAAAUACUCCUGACUGACCGAUAGUGAACCAGUACCGUGAGGGAAAGGCGAAAAGAACCCCGGCGAGGGGAGUGAAAAAGAACCUGAAACCGUGUACGUACAAGCAGUGGGAGCACGCUUAGGCGUGUGACUGCGUACCUUUUGUAUAAUGGGUCAGCGACUUAUAUUCUGUAGCAAGGUUAACCGAAUAGGGGAGCCGAAGGGAAACCGAGUCUUAACUGGGCGUUAAGUUGCAGGGUAUAGACCCGAAACCCGGUGAUCUAGCCAUGGGCAGGUUGAAGGUUGGGUAACACUAACUGGAGGACCGAACCGACUAAUGUUGAAAAAUUAGCGGAUGACUUGUGGCUGGGGGUGAAAGGCCAAUCAAACCGGGAGAUAGCUGGUUCUCCCCGAAAGCUAUUUAGGUAGCGCCUCGUGAAUUCAUCUCCGGGGGUAGAGCACUGUUUCGGCAAGGGGGUCAUCCCGACUUACCAACCCGAUGCAAACUGCGAAUACCGGAGAAUGUUAUCACGGGAGACACACGGCGGGUGCUAACGUCCGUCGUGAAGAGGGAAACAACCCAGACCGCCAGCUAAGGUCCCAAAGUCAUGGUUAAGUGGGAAACGAUGUGGGAAGGCCCAGACAGCCAGGAUGUUGGCUUAGAAGCAGCCAUCAUUUAAAGAAAGCGUAAUAGCUCACUGGUCGAGUCGGCCUGCGCGGAAGAUGUAACGGGGCUAAACCAUGCACCGAAGCUGCGGCAGCGACGCUGAUGCGUUGUUGGGUAGGGGAGCGUUCUGUAAGCCUGCGAAGGUGUGCUGUGAGGCAUGCUGGAGGUAUCAGAAGUGCGAAUGCUGACAUAAGUAACGAUAAAGCGGGUGAAAAGCCCGCUCGCCGGAAGACCAAGGGUUCCUGUCCAACGUUAAUCGGGGCAGGGUGAGUCGACCCCUAAGGCGAGGCCGAAAGGCGUAGUCGAUGGGAAACAGGUUAAUAUUCCUGUACUUGGUGUUACUGCGAAGGGGGGACGGAGAAGGCUAUGUUGGCCGGGCGACGGUUGUCCCGGUUUAAGCGUGUAGGCUGGUUUUCCAGGCAAAUCCGGAAAAUCAAGGCUGAGGCGUGAUGACGAGGCACUGCGGUGCUGAAGCAACAAAUGCCCUGCUUCCAGGAAAAGCCUCUAAGCAUCAGGUAACAUCAAAUCGUACCCCAAACCGACACAGGUGGUCAGGUAGAGAAUACCAAGGCGCUUGAGAGAACUCGGGUGAAGGAACUAGGCAAAAUGGUGCCGUAACUUCGGGAGAAGGCACGCUGAUAUGUAGGUGAAGUCCCUCGCGGAUGGAGCUGAAAUCAGUCGAAGAUACCAGCUGGCUGCAACUGUUUAUUAAAAACACAGCACUGUGCAAACACGAAAGUGGACGUAUACGGUGUGACGCCUGCCCGGUGCCGGAAGGUUAA